This is a non-coding RNA of Meleagris gallopavo (turkey), 2151 nucleotides long. Lineage: Eukaryota; Metazoa; Chordata; Aves; Galliformes; Phasianidae. The record is from RefSeq and is a predicted model, not a curated record.
GAUCCGGCGCCCAUCCGGAGCUUUAAUCCGUCGCGUUUAACGCCGCCGCCCGGUUUUCGUGCUCUUUCUGCUGCCGAAGGCUCCGCUGAGGAACGGCUGAUCGUCUUAAAGCAUGCUCGUAGGGUACGUAAAAUGGUUCCUCUAAACCGCAGGCAGAGGCGGCAGACCUGGAGGCCCGGAUUGUGCUGCAGAACAUCAGUGGAAAAACACCUCGCUAUCGUCUGGAACGGAUGCUGAUGGGCUGGCUGCAUCGCCUGCACCGAGGAGGACAGGAAUCCGGGUGAUCCCAAGUGUUUGUGAUGGAGCGGUGCAGUGAAACUUAGAUCUGGUUGUCUGCAAAGAUGUAAUAAAGUGUCAAAGACAAUCCCCCCUCACCUUUCAGUGGCCUUUGUUGCAGUGGAAUGAACAGCAUGCUGUGAUGCACGCAACGAGCCUGAUGAAUGACCUGUGGAAUGGUAGUUUGUCACAGCAGUGCAUGUCAGGACUUGAAGCAUACAAUCCUGCUCUUCUUUAACUUGAGUUUCACACAACUGAAUUUCAACAUCUCAACCUGUGCAACUUUUUCACUUUGAAGUAAUCCCCAAAUCCCCUCAUAAAACUAGUCUUUAGAAUCCACACUGGCCAAACUUUGUGUUUCUGGUUAGGAAGUGACAGUUCCUAUGGAGUCAUGUGUAGCGUUUGCUGAAUCCUUAAUCUGGUGUAAUAUUUUGCUACCCCUCUUUCCACUGUGUCGUAGCCUGAGGUAGUUGAACAGUUCUGUUGGUGGCCUGUAUCUGAAAAUGGGAGGCACAGGCUUGAACCAGCGGUUAUUCCUUGCCUUCCCUAGUUUUAACAGGCUUGACUUUGAAGCCAACAUUUAAUGUGUGAGUCACUAUACUGGUAAGUACUAUGCACCAUACAAAUGCAGCAAAGUGUCUGUUCCACACUUACAUGAGGUUUCCAGAGGUUGGUGUCUUUAUUCUGUAUAUAUGAUACUAAGAAACAUAAACCUUUGUGCUAUAUAAAUGUGAUUUUCGCUGUUGGCAUAGUCUUUCUCGGUUCUGUCCUGACUGUUCACAUUUGGUGUACUUCUCUUGUGAAGUUCAGAUGUUAUUAUGGGUCCCAGUAACCUAAGUUGCACGGAUCUCUUUUCUAAUGCUCUGACUUCAUAGGAGUUUCAAAGUGCCUUACAACAGUGGACUGUGAAAGCCUGGUGUGGGCUCACAGCAGUUUGGUUCUUAACCCUUUGUGCUAUGCCAUACACUGGCUGUGUUGCAUGAUUCACUCUGAUCACCUUCCUUUACAGGUGGAAAUUCUUCCUGCCAUGAAAUACACUGCUCUCUCAACACUCAUUCUUUAUUAAAUAGGGUGUGAUUGUCUCACUCAGAGAGGAACUACAUCAUUCCACCUUUUCCUGAGCAUGAUUUGAAUGUCAGAAUCAGCCCAACACAAUGCAAGAACAAAGCCAUGGAAUCAAGAAUUUGGGAAAAAAUGAGUGUCUUACCUCAUUUUUUUUCCUAGCAAGGAGUUCUGCCUUAUGUGGUGUGGGAUAGAGCUGUUUCUCAUGUUCAUAGCAACAUCUGUCUGGUCACUGUCGUUCAUAUCAAGUAGCAGAGCAAUUUGCUGAUUACCUCAAAAAGAGACAAAGAAUGAGACUUUUUUCAUGAAAUUUUUCAUGAAUUUUUCCUAUGUUGACAGACCUAAUUCCUGGCAUUGUACUCUCUGGGACAGUCAUUAAAUGAGUAGUCAAUGAAUCAAUCCUUACAAGACAUGCAGACUAAAAUGUUCAAAUGCAACUACCUGACCGUGAAUGAAAGGCACUGAUAUGAAAAUGCAACAACCCUUUGCACGGUGCCAAGUGUCAGUCUCAUGCUUGCUUAUCUCACAGGAGUGACAUCAUGGAUUUGAAUUCAUUAUUUAACCUAGAUAUUCUCAGCGAGACACUGGCUGUCAGAAGUGACUUUGUAAAUCAGUCUACGGGAGAUUGGAAAGGAGAGAAAUAGAUGAGAACGAAGAAACGUCUUGAAAGAAGAACCAGGAAACAGCAGAAUGUUUGGAUGUUGAGGAUCCUCCACCUCUACCAGUCAGAAUUCCUUGACUUCAAGUCUGUCUUUGCUUCAUGAACUAAGCAAAAAAAAAAAAAAAGGAAUUAAAAGACAAGGAAAAAAAAAA